GAUGAACGCUGGCGGCGUGCCUAAUACAUGCAAGUCGAGCGAACAGACGAGGAGCUUGCUCCUCUGACGUUAGCGGCGGACGGGUGAGUAACACGUGGAUAACCUACCUAUAAGACUGGGAUAACUUCGGGAAACCGGAGCUAAUACCGGAUAAUAUAUUGAACCGCAUGGUUCAAUAGUGAAAGACGGUUUUGCUGUCACUUAUAGAUGGAUCCGCGCCGCAUUAGCUAGUUGGUAAGGUAACGGCUUACCAAGGCGACGAUGCGUAGCCGACCUGAGAGGGUGAUCGGCCACACUGGAACUGAGACACGGUCCAGACUCCUACGGGAGGCAGCAGUAGGGAAUCUUCCGCAAGGGGCGAAAGCCUGACGGAGCAACGCCGCGUGAGUGAUGAAGUUCUUCGGAUCGUAAAACUCUGUUAUUAGGGAAGAACAAAUGUGUAAGUAACUAUGCACGUCUUGACGGUACCUAAUCAGAAAGCCACGGCUAACUACG
This 495-nucleotide ribosomal RNA is filed under the name uncultured bacterium. Its description in RNAcentral is "partial 16S ribosomal RNA". It matches the Rfam family "Bacterial small subunit ribosomal RNA", at positions 28 to 505 of the family's 1533-position model. The record is from RNAcentral.